UUUUUACCUUGCCUGGUGCACUGCUUCAAAUAUUAUUCCUGGGAGAAAUGUGAACCAAUUAAUUUUGAAAAUAUGUUAAUAAUGUCGGCUUGGGUCGGCGCCAGUGGAUUGCUGUGGGUAUCGUA
This 125-nucleotide small RNA is filed under the name Drosophila melanogaster (fruit fly). RNAcentral's name for it is "partial mlncRNA42E5-1". The record is from RNAcentral. Lineage: Eukaryota; Metazoa; Arthropoda; Insecta; Diptera; Drosophilidae.